Molecule: ribosomal RNA, 425 nt
Filed under: uncultured bacterium
Lineage: Bacteria
Description: partial 16S ribosomal RNA
Rfam family: Bacterial small subunit ribosomal RNA
Source: RNAcentral
GUGGGGAAUCUUGCGCAAUGGGCGAAAGCCUGAUGCAGCCAUGCCGCGUGAAUGAUGAAGGUCUUAGGAUUGUAAAAUUCUUUCACCGGGGACGAUAAUGACGGUACCCGGAGAAGAAGCCCCGGCUAACUUCGUGCCAGCAGCCGCGGUAAUACGAAGGGGGCUAGCGUUGCUCGGAUUUACUGGGCGUAAAGGGCGCGUAGGCGGACAGUUAAGUCAGGGGUGAAAUCCCGGGGCUCAAACUCGGAACUGCCUUUGAUACUGGGUGUCUUGAGUAUGAGAGAGGUGUGUGGAACUCCGAGUGUAGAGGUGAAAUUCGUAGAUAUUCGGAAGAACACCAGUGGCGAAGGCGACACACUGGCUCAUUACUGACGCUGAGGCGCGAAAGCGUGGGGAGCAAACAGGAUUAGAAACCCUGGUAGUCC